UGUGAGGGCACUCUUGAGCAAAGCUAAGGGGUGCAGGACACAGAAAGCCCAGGGUUAUCCUGGAAUCAAAGCUUCAUUUCUUCAGGAGCUUGUCAGUACUGAAAUGUCAGAGGUGGGAGGAUGGGACGGAGCUGGGGACAAGAUGAGGGCAAGUAAAGAUAUAAAGUUUCCAGAGCAGAAAGAAAAUACAGGGAUAACCAGCUUCUAGUAGGCUCUAAAGUGUAAUUGGUACAAACUGGUAUCAAGGUAAUUUUUACCUUGUUUAACAUGAUAAUCAAUGAGAUAGAUACAAAAAAGGCUUUAAUCUGGAAAUGUAGGAAAAAUCACUUUUGAAAGGUUUAAGAUGGUUCAUUUCUGUGGUUGAAAACCAAGAGCCUGAAAAUAUUAAAGCACGACUUCUGCUUUCCCUACACAGAGUGAAUCCAUUAAUUAACAGCAUGUUUCAGGGAACAAAAUGCCUAUUUUAAGAUCACGAGAAGGAAAAAUCCUACAGUGUUCUAAAGUCCCCACAGCAGCACAGGAGUGUAAUGACCUUUUCAUCUGUGAAGUGAAAAUAAACCCAGACUACCUGCAGUCUCUCUUAGUCCCCUUGCUCUAUGAGCAGUAUCCAUGUCUGCAGCAUGGUCAUUCUGUGCUUAACUGCAAGGAGGAAGAAAACUGUUGCUAAGUGAGCACUUGGAGAAGCAGGGAAUUAGGGCAGCAUCCUUUGGAGCAGUCUCCUGGUAAUGUGUAGCACUGUUUGCAGCUUGAACACUCCAACACAUGUUCUUGGAAGUACACAAAAGCAGUUCCCACAUAAAGUUUUAGGAGUGUUGCCACUGCUUGUAGAGGGAGGCUGCCAAAGAUGGGAGUUUUGAUCAAUAUUUGCACCAAAUUAGCUCCCUUCUGAUGAUUUGUCGGUUGACUAUUAGAUAGCAGCUUGCACCUUUAUGCUUUAGUAACUAUUUCGUAGGUUCAGUUAAAUCACGUUUCAAUCUCCAAAGGCAUCAGCACUCAUCACCUCAGUCCCUUUCCAUGCAUCACUUUUUAACUGGCUUUUUGGCAAAUUUAGUUAGAGAGAUCCUUGGAUGCAGAAAUGUUAAAUGAAAUCUCUGCUUGGAACUAGAGACCUUUCCAAAUGCUGCUCAGCACAGUGAGAGAUACAUUUUGUCCUCCUGUACUUCAGCUCCGCAAGGGUAAGGUUGGCUGACUGCGUGCGACCUGAGCUAGAAAACACCAAGCAGCCCCAAUACCCUUUCAACACAGCCAGAGGGGAGUGAUGUGCUCUCUCAGAUUGGACUCUCACUGCACUGAAGUCAUACUUGAAACCCAAAGCUGUAUUUGCCUUAAGGCAAAUUCGAGUUUACUCAUACUUUCAAGGUCAGCACUAUUAGGCCAGACUAAAAUCUAACUUUUAUUGUUGGUUGUUAUAGGAAAAACAGCAUCAGACAGGCUUUGAGCUUAGCACUUUGUGCAGUUCAUCAUAAUAAAAUGUAUCUUAGUAAAGAUAAGGGGCUGCAAUUAUUUCCUCCCGUCUUCCAAGUUAAGAGAGUACAAACCCACCUGCUAAGGCAGGUAUUCAAAUGCUAAGGAAUUCCUUAGGUUGUUCAGGAUGGCUGCCCUCACCUGAUCUCUCUCUGCACAUACACUGCCUUUAACAACAUUAGUAUUUGUCCUCACUGCCUCACUUAGCAGGAUAAACUCUUGUGAGUUCCUAUUCAGGGUCUGUAUAUGUGUGUGUGUGUUGCAAGGGGUAUUUGUUUCUCAUGUUCAUUUUUGCCACAGACUGUUCUGUGCUGUCAUGUCCACUUCACUGCUGCAGGGGUAGAUGAAUGUACUUAUGUAUAAAAUAUUGUAUGUGCUUACAGAACUUGGUAACCCACUUUCAAUUUGGACAGGUUAAAAAGAGCUACAGGGAUAUAUUGGGAUGCUGGUUGUGAGCUACAAGGCUAAAUUGGAAAUGCACAUUCCCUCCUGUGAAUCUUCUGGAGGCAGCAGGAUGAUGAAAAGUCCCUGUUAUUCGAAGCAGAAGGCACAACCUGGAAGCUUCCUGUCUUGCAGCUGUUUUGCCUUCCCGGCAGCACUAUUGUUCAAUAUUUUACAGUCUUCUAUAAUGUUAAAGGUUGAACUCUGCCACUAGA
Molecule: long non-coding RNA, 2120 nt
Organism: Pezoporus occidentalis (night parrot)
Lineage: Eukaryota; Metazoa; Chordata; Aves; Psittaciformes; Psittacidae
Exons: 2
Source: RefSeq, a predicted model, not a curated record